ACUUUUAAAAUGAUACAUAUAUAUAUAUGACUAUAUAAUGUAUAACUAUAAUUGUGUGUGUAUAUGUAUAUUUAUACACAUAAGAUAUUGGGUAAAUGUUAAAAGUCUGUCUGGAAUGGGGUGAUGGGUUAAUGGUGCAUAAGUGUGUGUGAUGGUUUUGUGUGUGAAUGUGCACGCGUGAGUGUGCAAGAGUAUUUGCAUGUGUGCAUACUUUCCUGUUUCCCACGUGUUCUGCAUUGACUGCAUUAUGUUUGAAUAACGUGGUUUUGUUUUUUUAAUUUUUUUUAACGUUUAUUUAUUUUUGAGACAGAGACAGAGCGAGGGGGAGACACAGAAUUGGAAGCAGGCUCCAGGCUCUGGGCCAUCAGCCCAGAGCCCGACUCAGGGCUCGAACUCACGGACCGUGAGAUUGUGACCUGAGCUGAAGUCGGACGCUUAACUGACUGAGCCACUCAGGCAACCCAGCGAAUAACGUGGUUUUGAAAACCACAGCCUAGAAACCUUGUUCAAGUUACAACGCUGCUUUCCUUCACCCCCUCCCCUGCCCCUGCCAUUUAAACUCUUUGGAAACAGCUGCAUCAGUUUGGUGACCACGCACGCAUGCAGCUCUGCGGAAACUUUUCUCCCCAACACCGGGGGCCUCGAACUGCCCAGCCAGGAACCCUUGGGAGCCCACAGCUGCCGGCCAGGAAGAUGUCACUCCUGGUUCUGCAGGGCACUUGGGUGGAGCGACCUAAUUCAGGGUGGGCAGAUAUGCUGCUUCGUGCCUCAGUUUCUAUCUCUGUAAGGUUGGCACGAUACUGCUCCCUGCCACCUGCCUCCUCUCCUGGGCUGCUCUGGGCACUCAGGGACUCCCCACUCACUGGCGCCCGUCUGUGCCAGAUGGGUGAGGUUUGAGAAGCCACUGAAACAUUGUUUCCCUUCUCAGGUAGAUGGAAAGCCUCAGCCCUGCCCCCAGGGAAACAGCAAUGGUGCAUGAGCUCUGCGCUGGUCCCCAGUCCGAGCACAUGUUGCCAUGACGCCCGGGAAUGCGGAAACAGCAGCUUCCUCUGCAGCCCCGUCUGGGGGCCCCCAAGUUUCUGCUGGUGACAGAGCUGCCUGUUCCCAGCCUCGGUGUCCCUCUUGCUGGUCCCCGGCUCCCAAGGACAGGUUUGGCUUUUGCAGGGAAGUCUUUCUGAUUGGGUCCUAUCAGUGGCACCCAAACAGGGUGCCCUCCCUGGGCUGGAGAGCUGAAAGCUCCUGUGUUUCUGUGGCUGGGUCCUGUCUCUGUUCCGUGCUUCUGGGAAGAUGAGAGACGAACGUCACCACAUCUGGUUACCUGAAAUUCCGAGACACCGCCCGUGUUGUCCGUUUGGACCGGGCCUGUGGAAAGAGACCAGGCCUCAGGGUUGAAUAGACCCUGGCUGUGGGCAAAUUUCUUCACCUCUUCAAGUCUCAGUUUUCCCGUCUAUAAGAUGGGAAUAAAAACACUCUCUACCUCCCAGGUUAGUGACUAUGAUAAAUUCUGAACGUGAAGCUAUCGUGGGCACCGGGUAGAAGGUGGUUAUUGUUGGGAAUAAAGGGCCCCGCCCUGAGGACUGCCUUCCUGGGAUAAAACGGGGCUUGAGUUCGGCUCAGGUACUUACAGGGGUCCCGCUUGGUGUCGAGCCCAGCUGAAACGCAUCGUCCCAGCUGGACCCUGGCCUGGUCCAGGUGGGAGGGUGGGGCUCCCCGCGAGGCGAGGGGUGGGCUUGUCUCUCCGGCGCCCAGGUGGGCGGUGUGUGGCUGGGCCUCCCCAGAUAAAGGCGACAAAGGAGGCACAGGAGAGAGGAAGGAAGGAGAAGAUAGGCAACGGAGAAGGUGAGAGGAGCGAGACUGUGUCAGAGCAACAACAAGGACACAGAGGUAGACAGGAAGGAGAGAGUGAGCGGAGGGUGGAGAGGGAGCCUCAGAAAGAAACGGCAACGCAAUUUAAAAACUGGCAGGCCGUUAAAAAGAGCCCGUUUGACCUCCGGCACGCCGAGCCAAGCCUCUCUUUCUCAACUGGUUCCCCAAGAUCAUGCCAGGGUCGAGCGGGGACACAGGCAGGGGCCUGUGAGCUCUCCAGUGAACCUGACAACCUGGGACGUUGCUACAGAUAACAGAGUCACCGUGAGUGCUGGCUUUGACCCUGAUACGAACACGGGUAAAAUUUAAAAAUCUUAUCGGUCCUAGCUCCAGAAUGUUCUAUACCUUGCCCAAGGUCCCAAACUCUUCCUGGCAGAGCAGGAGCUCUUGGGAAAGAGAUUCCAAACAGAGAAAUGGAUCGUCGUUGGCCUAAAACCUGAUAUACCCUUAUCCCGUUGACCAGCUAUGUUUAAAAUCACUGCCAGGGCGCCUGGGUGGCUCAGUUGGUUAAGUGUCCGGCUUCGGCUCAGGUCAUGAUC
Long non-coding RNA from Felis catus (domestic cat), 2405 nucleotides. RefSeq lists it as uncharacterized. The transcript is spliced from 3 exons. The record is from RefSeq and is a predicted model, not a curated record. NCBI's taxonomy places the organism in Eukaryota, Metazoa, Chordata, Mammalia, Carnivora, Felidae.